Molecule: unclassified non-coding RNA, 329 nt
Filed under: soil metagenome
Description: partial contains 5.8S ribosomal RNA, internal transcribed spacer 2, and large subunit ribosomal RNA
Rfam family: 5.8S ribosomal RNA (bases 1-120)
Source: RNAcentral
GAUGAAGAACGUAGCGAAAUGCGAUAAGUAAUGUGAAUUGCAGAAUCCAGUGAAUCAUCGAAUCUUUGAACGCACCUUGCGCCCCUUGGUAUUCCGAGGGGCACACCUGUUGGAGUGUCAUUAUAACCCCUCAAGCUCAGCUUGGUGUUGGGGCCUGCUGCACUGGCAGCCCUUAAAAUCAGUGGCGGCGCCAUCUGGCUCUAAGCGUAGUAAUUCUUCUCGCUAUGGAGUCCUGGUGGAUGCUUGCCAUCAACCCCCAAUUUUUCUAUGGUUGACCUCGGAUCAGGUAGGGAUACCCGCUGAACUUAAGCAUAUCAAUAAGCGGAGGA